CAAAGUUUUGUCCAUCUUUGUUCAUCACAGCCUAAAGUUAGAGAAGAGAAAGGAGAGGAGAAAGCUCUUGAAUGUUCGGUCACUUGGAGAAGAAAAUUGAAGGUAAGUUCAUGGUAGUUUGCUUCUAUCUUGAUGUUCAUGAGUUCUUCUUGAUUCUACCUUAACUAUUUAAGCAUAUUUUGGUUUUUGGUUGUGUUGUGAGCAUUUGGUCAUGAAUUAAAAUGAAGGAAAUGGUUGUUGUUUCAUGUUCUUUUGAUGAAAAAUGGAAGAUAUGUGAAGUUGAGCCAAACAAAUGAGCAUGCAUGUGCUUAGAUGCCAAGGGGAAAAAUUGGCUAAUAUAUUGUGCUUUAAAAUGAUGAAAUAGAGAUUAUACUUUAGUAAAAUCAUAGAUAUGUGAUGAUUGAUUGGUGAUAUACAUGUUUAAAAAAAAACAUGCAUGCAAGUUAUGUAUGAAAGAGUGAUUUGGUAAUAAAUCUGCUUGGGACAGCCGCAGUAACGUGACUUUGGAAAAUCGCCAUAAAUUGUGGGGGAUGAGUUAGAAGCUGCAUAAAUUAUGUAAUUAAAGCUUAAUGAGUCUAGUUUCAAAUGGAAUAAAUGAGAACAUAUUUUGAAUUCUGUACAAUGAGAAAUUUGAUUCGUAAUGAAGAGCGGUUAGAUUAGUCAAACAGUGAAACAUGCGAAACUUUUAGAAAAAUAUGGUAUUGAUUGGCCAAACGAAAACUUCUGAAAAUUUUAUGGAUAUAAGAUAUAUGAGUCUAUUUUCAGGAAAAAUUAACGGCACUUGAUUUUGAGUUUCGUAGCUCCAGUUAUAAAUGAUUUAGUGACUGUUGCUCAGGAAGACAGCUUGCAGUGAAAUUAUGAUUAUGUGGUAAACAUUGACAAAAAUUUGUUAAUGAGUUGCUUAUUGAUUUCUUAUAAGCUUACUAUGAUCUGUAGGUGUGGUUGGCCGAAUAUUGUAAGGGGUUAAUACGUAGUUUGUAUUUGAAUAGUUAGAUUAACGUGUUAGUAAUCCAAUUGUAGGCGGUUCGUGUGUGGAUCUCGUCAGCAUAUCGUCGCAAACAGGUAUGUAACUAACACCCUCUUUCUUAGUCUGGAUCGGCAAAAGUCGAAAAGCCGAAAUGCCGAAAACUGGUAUUUUAUAGAUUUGCGAGUGUACGAAUGCUCGUAAGGUAAAUCGAUUAAUGUUUUUGGUAAGCUGCAAAAUUUGGACUGCAAAGUGCAUGAUCUCUGUGCCCUCGAUAUUUUUGGGCUUAAUGGGCCAAAAUUGGAAUGAUGGGCCAACGGGCCCAAUUCGGUAAGAAUCCUCGGUACGUGAUUCUGUUAGUACGUGAAAAGUAGGAAUAUGCAUGAAAAAUCCUAAAAUAGAUAAAUUACUGAAAUACCUUUAAAAUGAGAAAAUUUACAGUUUUACCCCUAGUAGAUAAAUUACCGAAAUACCCCUAGGGUUAAAUUGACCUAAAUGCAUGUUUGAUUGUUGUUAUUUACUGCAUGCCAUGUUGUUAUUAUCUGAUGCAUGGGAUUGGGAUAUUGACGGAGGAAGUACUGAAAGUGGCUUGUCCACGUACUGGAGGCUUUGCCUCAAUUUACUGUUAACUGAGCAGCAAGGCUGCAAUUGUGGAGUGUUGGGCUGGGUGGGUUGAGCUAUUCCCCACAUGGAGUGUAGGGCUGGUACGGGUGGAGUGUAGUGGUUGGUGGGUUGAGUAGUCUCCCCAAAUGGGCUUGCAUAUGUUAUUGAUGUUGCAUGUAUUUUCAAAUGGGCCUAUGGGCCAUACUGUUAUCUGAAUAAGGGGCUAAGGCCCAGUUUAUUGUAAUCUGAAAAGGGCUCUGGUCCAGUACCACUGUUACCUGAAUGGGCUUAGGCCCAAUAGGCUUGAGCUGACUUGGGCUUUGAAUGGGUUUUCCUUACACACUGAGUUUCCCCAAACUCACCCCUUUUAUUUUCAUCCACGCAGGUAAUCCCCAACCAUAGUGGGCUUGGAGCUGUGAAAGAAUUCGGAGUGGCCACCCGUUCUGAAAGUUUGAUUUUCUUCUGGUGAACUGGACAUCCUAUUAUUUACGUUGAGGUUUGGGUUUUUAAAUGUAAUAAGGCCGCUUAAUUAUUUUUGAUGGUUUUAAUAUGUAUUACUAAGAUAGGUAUUAGUUAUUUUAACUGUUGAAAUUGGAUAGCUUUAGGGCGCGUUUUCAAAAAUAACAAUUGACUUCAAAAUAACACGACAACAAGCAAAGCUUUUUCAAUGAAAGUAUUUUCCAAAAUUAAUCACUUUUCCUAAAAAUGACAUAAUCAAAUCAGUUUCCUAGAAAUAUCCAUGACGUUAAGGUGUGGCAAUGGCGGUAUGCAUGUCUAGGAUUGGAUCCGAAGGGAGCUUGGUACUUAAGUAGUCCGAUGGACUCACCACCUCUUUUUCGAUUUCCUACCUGGUGCACAGCUUCCAUUCACUUUAACCUAUAAUGAAAUUAUCUUUUAAAACACUAAGUAGGUUUUUCUGGAUCAACAAUAUAAAAUGUUUUGAACGCUUCGAUGUGGCAUGUCGGAUCCAGCCAUAACGUCUGGGCCGAGUUUGGGGUGUUACAAGAGAUUUGUACUAACAAAAUAUGAAGUUGUUGGUCACCAAACAUCACAUGAGUUUAACUAUUUUGUCCCAUCAAGUCAGAAUGAAUGACAGAAUAUGUCCUAUCACAAACAUCCUCAUCCCAUCAAAGAUAUCCUACGUGUUCUAUUUUAUCCCACGUGUUUUAUAAUGAUGGCUAGAUGUAAGCCCAAUACAUUAACACUAUCUUUCAUGGGACCCCUACCUAUAAAUACCUCUAGGAAGAAAGAAGAAAUGAUCGACUCUUCAAGAAUAUUAAACCUACACUCUGUCAACACUCCAACUUUCAGCCUUUAUACUCUCUUCACUUUCAUUCUCUAUAACCUUUGACUCUCCUCCCCGACUAGGUGAACCGACUUCCAUAACAACAACCACUUUCUCCUUUGUACACUCCUUAAGUGAGAACUAAUUCAUUCUUUACAUCCUCUUAAUAGGGGAUUGUGGUAGCAAGUGAAUUGAAGAAAUGACGCUUCAUAGGUAAAAAGUUUGGUGAACAGAUCUCUCCAAUCUCUCUCAAUUUUGAAAUUGAGCAAAUUAGUCCUUCUAAAAAAACAGAGCAAUUUAAUCCCUAUUAAUUUUGAAAGUGAGAAUUAAGGACAAUUAAUCAUGACGUUAAUGUCUUGUGUCAAUUGUGCAUACUUUUGGUUGGUAUAAUAACAAAUUUAGUCAUUGAUGUUUACAUAUUUUGUUAAUUUAGUAUUGAUUCUAUAAAGUGAUUCUAUAAAGUUUAAGGAAUUUAACCUCAACAUUUACACACUUACAAAAAAAUUGUGGGUUAAAUUUAUUAAAUCAUGACCAAAUUGAUAAAAUUUGUAAAUUAUGAGAGCUAAAUUUAUUAUUAUACCGAUUAAAUUUAUGUAAAAUUGAUUAAAAACGUUAACAUUGUGAUUAAUUUUCUUUAGUUGUUUACUUUCGAAAUUGAUAAAAAUUAAAUUGCUCCAGUUUUUUAAAAGGAACCAAUUUACUCAAUAUCAAAAUUAAAAAAAACUGGAAAGAUCUUUUUACUAAAAACUUAUAAUAGAAAAAUGGUCUCUAAAUUUUACUUCAGUUCUCAUAUUCACCCGUAAAGUAAUUUUUAGUAAAAAAAUACACCAAACAUUUAAUUCCAUCGAAUGUUUUGGUCUAAAAUCUAUUCAGCGUGUCCAAUCUUAUUAGUUCUAAGUGUCACAUGUUUUUUCCUCUUAACACUGCUAAUAAAUGUCUAAUUUAUUAGUUUUAAUUUUUAUUAUUUUUUAAUAAAAUAAAUUUAGUAUUAAUUGUCAAUUUGUUUAAUUUUGAUUUUAAUUUAUCAAAUACAAUCAAUGAAUAUAAUUUAAUUUAAAUUUUAAGGUAUUUAAUUAUUAAAAUUAUUAAUUAAUUAUGAAUCAUCAAAACUGUUCUAAAAUCUGAAUCAAACACUAAAAAUAAUAAUAAUAUUAUUUUUAAAUAUUAAAAUAUCUAAUUCUUUUCAAACAAAAAUAUUACACAUCAUACUAAAAAAAGUGUGAAACUCAAAAUAUUCCUCAACGAUAUGCAUGUAUCGGAUGUAAAGAAAAUUAAAAUAACAAAGUAAGAUUUUGGGUGUUGUUUAAUGUAAUGCAUUUGUUUACUUUUUGAGAUUAGCAUGCAUGUGUUGAUUGAUUGCUAACAUACUUUAUUUUUAAAAAUGUUGUUAUUCAUGCCAUUGUCUUAUUUGUUAUCUAUAUUUAUAUGCAUGUGUUGCCUUAUAUGUUCAAAUAUUUUAUUUUUAACAAAUAAAAUUAUUGUUGUUGAUGGCUUUGCUUAUCUGUUAUCCAUAGUUAUGUCUUUGUGAUGUAACAUGUUCAGUUUAAUAUACUUUUACUGUAAUGGUUAAUGUAUAGUUUGAAAUGGCUUUUAUAAAGCUUUUUUUUUUAUGAAAUGGCUUUUAUAAAGUUUGUAAUGGUUAAUGUAUAGUUUGAAAUGUAUAUUUAAAGUAAUUUAAAUUAGAUAAUUGAAUUAAAUUAUUAUAUAGAUCAAGAAAUGAAUCAACCAGUCAGUAAUCGUAAAAAAGGGAAAGCCGUCGAGUAGUCCUCGGUGUAGUGCUAUUGUUGCUUCAUUAGGUAAGUUCGUAUUGGGUUUAGUCUGCUUAUUAGUUGUUUGAACUGAAUUAAGAAAGUGUAUCAAUGUAUAAAUGUUGAUAUGGUUCAUUGAGAUAAAUAUUCAUGUGGAAAUGAAGGUUUGAAAUGUAAAGUAUAGAAUUAUAUGUAUUUGAAAUGAAAGAUGCUAUUAUAAGGUAUGCAAAUGAUCAUGUGGAAUGUGUUAUUAUAUAUAUAAAUGGAAAGAUUGUGGAAAAAGAGUCAAGGCUCGUGUGAGCUUAGUGAAUGAUUAGGAUACAGAUGAUAUGUCAUUAGGGUUUUCCAAGCACUAAGUUCUGGUGAUAUAUUUCUAGGUAUUAUGUACCAAUGUUAAAGUUUUCAAGCACUCUAUGUCAGUGAUAUAUUUCUAGGUACUAUGUAUUGAUGAUGGACAUCAUACUAAUGGUUGAAAUCUAGCAUUUGUUGCAGAUUCUCAUCAGCUUGUAUGAGUAGCAUCGUGUAAUGGUUAAUGUCCCGAUCAUCAGCUUGUGUGAGCAUUAUUUCCCUCCGUAUCCAAAGUUAAUUUACUAUAGUUCUCAGCAAAAAACAAUUAAUGGAAUGAUUAGAAACGGAAUAUAUGACAUGAAUGGUUAUGUACUUAUUGGUUAUGAAUUGGCAUGUGAAUGAUAUCAUCUGGAGAUCCUGGUAACAUUAUACAUACAUGUUUAACCAUUUGGUGUGAUAGGAAAUGAGAAACAUGGCAAGAAAUUUUAGUUAUAUGUUAAAUUCAGAUUGUAUGCUUUAAGUGACAAAUAAGUGGUGUUUAAUUUUACGACCUUACUAAGCUUUAAGUAAGUUUACCAUUCUUUGUUUUCUUCCUUGUAGAUUCUCACUUUUGAGCUGUCAAUUGGAUCAUUUUUGGAGAACACACUAUCCACCAACUCUUGUGGUAGUUAUUUACUUAUUUGGCCCAAUUAUAAGUGACACGUGAAUAGGUUUAUGACAUUGUAUAUAUAUAAGUACUUUGGUUAAGUUUUGUGCC
RNAcentral lists this long non-coding RNA (5645 nucleotides) under Gossypium barbadense (sea-island cotton). RNAcentral describes it as "long non-coding RNA (GBAR_LNC006930)". The record is from RNAcentral. Lineage: Eukaryota; Viridiplantae; Streptophyta; Magnoliopsida; Malvales; Malvaceae.